GAUGAAGAACGUAGCGAAAUGCGAUAAGUAGUGUGAAUUGCAGAAUUCAGUGAAUCAUCGAAUCUUUGAACGCACAUUGCGCCCCUCGGUAUUCCGUGGGGCAUGCCUGUUCGAGCGUCAUCUACACCCUCAAGCUCUGCUUGGUGUUGGGCGUCUGUCCCGCCUCCGCGCGUGGACUCGCCCCAAAUUCAUUGGCAGCGGUCCUUGCCUCCUCUCGCGCAGCACAUUGCGCUUCUCGAGGGGCUACGGCUCGCGUCAAACAAGCACAUUUACCGUCUUUGACCUCGGAUCAGGUAGGGAUACCCGCUGAACUUAAGCAUAUCAAUAAGCGGAGGA
This 336-nucleotide unclassified non-coding RNA is filed under the name soil metagenome. RNAcentral describes it as "partial contains 5.8S ribosomal RNA, internal transcribed spacer 2, and large subunit ribosomal RNA". The stretch from base 1 to 120 matches the Rfam family "5.8S ribosomal RNA", at positions 35 to 154 of the family's 154-position model. The record is from RNAcentral.